GGCCUCACCUGCAGUACUGAAUCCAGAUGUGGAGUCUUCAGUACAGGAGAGAUGUGGACCUGUUGGAGUGCAUCCAAAGAAGGGCCACAAAAUGGAUCCAAGGAGUGGAACACCUUAAGUGUCCCUUCCAACUCUGAUUCUCUGAUUGCAUUCUUCAGAUGUUGUGCAGAGUGGUUGGUUCUGCAUGAAGUGUGUGGAGAGCUGGAGAGACCAAAAUGGACUGAAGGGCCAGGAUAGCACGUUGUGGUCCUGUAGACAUUCCCAGGUCUGGACGUUUUCAAGGGCAAAGUUUUGGAGGCAUCCUGCUUGGUACACGAACAUUUCAAAUUUACUAAGUGAAGUACAAAGCUUGUGAACCUUUAGAUCAUUGACAAAGAGAUUAACCCCUUUGUGGACAAAUGGGAAGAAGAAGGACAGUUCCCAGCACAUAAAGUGUUUAAAACCCUGGGCCAAGCUGGAUUCCUUGGUGUGGAUAAGCCAACAGGAGCUCUGCAGUUGCAUUUUACAAAAGCUUUAAAAAACUGGAAAAAUUCCUCAGUGCUACUUUGUCGUUCUCAUCUGAUCUUCUGGAGCAAGAUGUUAUUAGCUGCAGAAAAAGAAACAGCUUCUGCAAGAUUCAACUGAGCAGUAGGAGCCCGGACCCAGCUUUUCUUUACCAUUGUAAUGAUGCAGUAACAUCAGGCACAUCUUGAAAUUCUUGAAUGGGAUGAUCAGUGAAACAGUCAGAUGGGUAACAUCACCCUCUCAACAGAACUUAUUUUGGCAAAGCAUGAAAUUCUUCAUCUUUUUUUUUUUUCAGAGUGCUUAUGCUUACUGUGUAACCAGUGUGUGUACUGGUAGCAGUAAUUA
This is a non-coding RNA of Meleagris gallopavo (turkey), 849 nucleotides long. NCBI's taxonomy places the organism in Eukaryota, Metazoa, Chordata, Aves, Galliformes, Phasianidae. The record is from RefSeq and is a predicted model, not a curated record.